GGAGGCAGCAGUGGGGAAUAUUGCACAAUGGGGGAAACCCUGAUGCAGCAACGCCGCGUGAGUGAUGAAGGCCUUCGGGUUGUAAAGCUCUGUCUUUGGGGACGAUAAUGACGGUACCCAAGGAGGAAGCCACGGCUAACUACGUGCCAGCAGCCGCGGUAAU
Molecule: ribosomal RNA, 163 nt
Filed under: Clostridium sp. enrichment culture DGGE gel band jl-20d-8
Lineage: Bacteria; Bacillati; Bacillota; Clostridia; Eubacteriales; Clostridiaceae
Description: partial 16S ribosomal RNA
Rfam family: Bacterial small subunit ribosomal RNA
Source: RNAcentral